AUGCCGUCGCAUAAAUUGUUAAGGGAAAAAAGAAAAACUUUUCUAGAUCUAGACGCCACACACACUCUCCUCCUCCUCCUCUUCUCUUCUCUCUCUCUCUCUCUCUCUCUAGCUCUCUGCUCUUUUCGAUCUUCUCUUCGAUGGCCACCCCGACCUCAACCACCUCUCUUAUUUCCUCUGUUAAUCACUCUAUAACGAUAUGGUGGUGGUGGAAUCACUGGGGUGGCUGACAGAGUCGACCAUAAUGGCAAGAAGCACCGCGCCGUCGCCCACGUCGGAGCCUCUUAGAUCAUGGAGCUCAAAGCCAAGCUUUACUAGUCUCAAGAAGAUUCCAAGAAGUCCAAAGACCUCGCAGACCCAGAUGCCGAGUUCCACCUCGCUAAGUAGAAGAUCACCGCACACGAUGUCUUCUCCGCCAAGAACUCCUGCGUCGACGCUUGGGCUCACAGGGCUUAGAACAUAUAACAGUGGGUUAGCAAUGGCAUCCCCAUACGCAUUCACCCGUCUCAAGGAAUUGAGACUUGGUCCGUUUUGGAAUGAGCUGGAUUCAUUCCCUGCUUUUUCAGGUUCUACCACAACUUAAAUCUUGCGGGAAUACCGAAGUUGAUAGGCGCCACUAAAUCUGGUGGAAAACAUGUUGAGUUUGUAAGCAUUGAUAGGUGUAAGGAGGAGAACGGAGGCCCCUACAAGGCAUCAAUUCCAUUGAUUCAGGCCACAACCCAGAAGCAGAUGUUUUACUUGCUUAUGAGAUGAAUGGAGAGGGAUGGGAGAUCAAACUAGAACAUGGGUAUGGCCUGUGGCCCUUGCAAUGGGCCAUUCUUUGAUUGGAUAUACCUAAUUAAGUGAAAUUGCAUCCUUCCUGCCAGGUUGAUUGAAUACCUAAAUAGUACUAGUCAAGACGUAUGGAACAACAUACCUAAAAUGGCUAAAAACCUUGCAGGGCUUCUUUAUGCAAAAAGACUACAAAAUGUUUCCACCUUUAGUAAACUGGGAUAACAUUAAUUGGUCCACCAGGAGGCCACAAAUGGAUUUUCCUGUCCAGUGUGUAAUUUGUUCUUUAGAGGAUGUGAAUGUUGUAAAGCCUGGAAAGGGGCGGGACAUGUAUGUUAUGGUGAGCUACUUGAUGAGAAUUCUGGAAGUUUACUUAGUACUGACUAUGUAGUUUUGUCAAGUGAAUUUAACACUUUUCAGAACCUGAAGAAUUUUUUACUUAAUGCCCCUGCUUUUGAUAGUGUUGAUAGUUUGGCCAUUUUCUUCGAUUUCUAAUGAAGGUGUUGUAGUGUUGGCAUGGAUUGCUUUUGCUAAUCUUUGUUUUUAAACAACUCUUGGCUGGUCUUAGAAUUGUGAUUGUUGGUUGGUUAUA
This is an RNA transcript of Rosa rugosa (rugosa rose), 1363 nucleotides long. RefSeq lists it as uncharacterized. The record is from RefSeq and is a predicted model, not a curated record. The transcript has 6 exons. Lineage: Eukaryota; Viridiplantae; Streptophyta; Magnoliopsida; Rosales; Rosaceae.